GUGGGGCCCAAAACUGGACACAGUACUCCAGAUGAGGCCUCACCAAUGUUGAAUAGAGGGGAACGAUCACGUCCCUCGAUCUGCUGGCAAUGCCCCUACUUAUACCUCCCAAAAUGCAAUUGGCCUUCUUGCCAACAAUGGCACACUGUUGACUCAUAUCCAGCUUCUCGUCCACUGUAACCCCUAGGUCCUUUUCUGCAGAACUGCUGCCGAGCCAUUUGGUCCUUAGUCUGUAGCGGUGCAUGGGAUUCUU
Dermochelys coriacea (leatherback sea turtle) is the source of this 253-nucleotide long non-coding RNA. RefSeq lists it as uncharacterized. The record is from RefSeq and is a predicted model, not a curated record. The transcript has 3 exons. NCBI's taxonomy places the organism in Eukaryota, Metazoa, Chordata, Testudines, Dermochelyidae.